UGAGUAACACGUGGGUGAUCUGCCCUGCACUUCGGGAUAAGCUUGGGAAACUGGGUCUAAUACCGGAUAGGACCUCAAGGCGCAUGUUUUGGGGUGGAAAGCUUUUUGCGGUGUGGGAUGGGCCCGCGGCCUAUCAGCUUGUUGGUGGGGUGAUGGCCUACCAAGGCGACGACGGGUAGCCGGCCUGAGAGGGUGUCCGGCCACACUGGGACUGAGAUACGGCCCAGACUCCUACGGGAGGCAGCAGUGGGGAAUAUUGCACAAUGGGCGCAAGCCUGAUGCAGCGACGCCGCGUGGGGGAUGACGGCCUUCGGGUUGUAAACCUCUUUCACCAUCGACGAAGCUCCAGCUUUUGUUGGGGUGACGGUAGGUGGAGAAGAAGCACCGGCCAACUACGUGCCAGCAGCCGCGGUAAUACGUAGGGUGCGAGCGUUGUCCGGAAUUACUGGGCGUAAAGAGCUCGUAGGUGGUUUGUCGCGUUGUUCGUGAAAUUCCCUGGCUUAACUGGGGGCGUGCGGGCGAUACGGGCAGACUGGAGUACUGCAGGGGAGACUGGAAUUCCUGGUGUAGCGGUGGAAUGCGCAGAUAUCAGGAGGAACACCGGUGGCGAAGGCGGGUCUCUGGGCAGUAACUGACGCUGAGGAGCGAAAGCGUGGGGAGCGAACAGGAUUAGAUACCCUGGUAGUCCACGCCGUAAACGGUGGGUACUAGGUGUGGGUUUCCUUCCUUGGGAUCCGUGCCGUAGCUAACGCAUUAAGUACCCCGCCUGGGGAGUACGGCCGCAAGGCUAAAACUCAAAGGAAUUGACGGGGGGCCCGCACAA
This 823-nucleotide ribosomal RNA is filed under the name Mycobacterium sp. Its description in RNAcentral is "bacterial SSU rRNA". It matches the Rfam family "Bacterial small subunit ribosomal RNA", at positions 107 to 928 of the family's 1533-position model. Lineage: Bacteria; Bacillati; Actinomycetota; Actinomycetes; Mycobacteriales; Mycobacteriaceae. The record is from RNAcentral.